GUGUCAGCCGCCGCGGUAAGACGUAGGGUCCAAGCGUUGUCCGGAUUUACUGGGCGUAAAGAGCGCGUAGGCGGUCUGUUAAGUGUAGAGUGAAAUCUCCAGGGCUCAACCCGGAAACUGCUCUGCAUACUGGCAGACUGGAGUGAUGCAGAGGUUUGUGGAAUUCCUGGUGUAACGGUGAAAUGUGUUGAUAUCAGGAGGAACACCCAUGGCGAAGGCAGCAAACUGGGCAUUAACUGACGCUGAGGCGCGAAAGCGUGGGUAGCAAACAGGAUUAGAUACCCGUGUAGUCC
RNAcentral lists this ribosomal RNA (293 nucleotides) under uncultured bacterium. RNAcentral describes it as "partial 16S ribosomal RNA". It matches the Rfam family "Bacterial small subunit ribosomal RNA", at positions 505 to 796 of the family's 1533-position model. The record is from RNAcentral.